UACGUAGGGUGCAAGCGUUGUCCGGAAUUAUUGGGCGUAAAGAGCUUGUAGGCGGUUUGUCGCGUCUGCUGUGAAAAUCCGGGGCUCAACCCCGGACUUGCAGUGGGUACGGGCAGACUAGAGUGUGGUAGGGGAGACUGGAAUUCCUGGUGUAGCGGUGAAAUGCGCAGAUAUCAGGAGGAACACCGGUGGGCGAAGGCGGGUCUCUGGGCAGUAA
RNAcentral lists this ribosomal RNA (217 nucleotides) under uncultured bacterium. RNAcentral describes it as "partial 16S ribosomal RNA". It matches the Rfam family "Bacterial small subunit ribosomal RNA", at positions 524 to 739 of the family's 1533-position model. The record is from RNAcentral.